UGAGCAAGGGCCAGGCUUUCUGCAAGGACAGUGGAGAGGCUUCUUUUCCUGGUGGCCUUGAGCACUUCCAGAUGACAGCAGACCCAGGGCUCUGUGCUCUCCCCCAGGCAUGGAGCACUCAGAGAACUUCUAGACAUCAAGCAGCGCCCUGUGCGGGGGACUGAACCCCACAGCAAGGAGGAAGCAGGACUGCACCUUACAGCUGGGGUCAUUCCCGGGGACAGUGACCGGUGCAAACUCACGGCUCCUCAGACUGUGAGAAAAGAACGGGGAGAAAAGGAUGCGGACGGACGGCAAAGGGCCUGCGAGCGCUGCCUUCUUGCCCACGCUGGUGAAAUAAAUGCCCAGGCCGUGGUGAGUGCCGGGAUGGCAUCAUCCGCACAGAGAUCACGCCAGGGCUGGGAAGCAGACAGUCCAGGAGGGGGCCUGCGGGGAACCCAGCAGACAGAUGGGGCCCUGGGCAGAGCUUGCUCUGGGAGGUGGAGACCAGUGUGGGGAAGCGGCUUAGUGUUCAUUUCCCUGUCUUCCUCCCGGAGCGUCUGGUCUUCUUAAAUAUCCCGAGUUUCGGGGCUGCUGGCAGAAGCGUCGGUGCACAUCCUGGUACCAGAAUGACAAGGGGGACGGACAGCAGCUGUUAGCCGUGGGAAUCAGGGAGAAGAAAAAGAACCACAGCCACCAUCGCAGCUGAGAUUUAUUGAGCACAUACUACGCACCAGGCAAUGUGAUUCUAAGCUCUUCGGCGGAUUAGCUCUUCGGCGGAUUUAGUGCCCUAGGAGACAGGCGCUGGUGUUGUGUCCAUUUUACAGCUGAGGAAACUGAGGCCGAAAGAUUUCACAACUUGUCCGAGGGCACCCCGGUCGUAAGCGGCAGGGCGAGGACUUUACCCCCAGACAGUCGCGUCGCCACGGGGCUGGGGAAAUGAGACCUGUCUGAGCAUUUGGCCCCACCACCGUCAUCCCCAGGAGGAAGUCCUUCCAAUGGCAGUGUGGGAAGGGCCGACUUCUGUUGUGUUCAUGCAAAUGGUUUGCCUUUCAGAGCUUUGCUGUCUCUCUCUCUCUCUUUUUCAUUAUUGAAGUAUAAUUUAGAUACUAAAUUAUUGAAGUAUAAUUUAGUAACUGUUAACACACCGACACACAGGCAUCACAAACGCUGCAAUAAAAAUACGGAA
RNAcentral lists this long non-coding RNA (1168 nucleotides) under Felis catus (domestic cat). Its description in RNAcentral is "lncRNA (ENSFCAG00000051744.1)". Lineage: Eukaryota; Metazoa; Chordata; Mammalia; Carnivora; Felidae. The record is from RNAcentral.